This 496-nucleotide long non-coding RNA is filed under the name Elaeis guineensis (African oil palm). RNAcentral describes it as "long non-coding RNA (EGUI_LNC066996)". The record is from RNAcentral. Lineage: Eukaryota; Viridiplantae; Streptophyta; Magnoliopsida; Arecales; Arecaceae.
CGCGGUGGCUUCAGAAUGACCCUCUCUCAAUCUGCGAAGCUCGCCUUCCAUCUUCUUUGACUUUUUUGUCAAGUGAAGGACUUCCUUCUUCAGCCGCUGGAUUGUCAACUUCAGCAGAAUCCCCAGGGGUAGGGAAAGUGCUUCAGCAGGGCACUACCAUUGGAAGGCAAAAGCGUCAAGACACGCCUCAUCGCAAAAAGAAAAGCAGAGAGAAGAAAGGAAGGAGGGAGAGGCCACCCAUGACAAGAAAUUCAACUUUAUUGAUUGGAUGAUUCUUGAAGAUAAAAAGGAAAAGAAAAAUUAUGGUAAAAUAAAAAUACAAGGUCGGAGGUCUCAGACCUCAGGGGCAGGAGUUGGAGAGCUCGGCAUUCCUGGAAGGAGGGCUGCGACAGCAGUGGUAGCGGGAGAGGGACCGGCCUUGUCUUCAGACUCCUCACCCAGGAAGCUGAGGUCGAGCUCCAAAAAUUUCCUGACCACCUUCUCCUGGCAGAGCUCG